RNAcentral lists this ribosomal RNA (483 nucleotides) under uncultured bacterium. Its description in RNAcentral is "partial 16S ribosomal RNA". It matches the Rfam family "Bacterial small subunit ribosomal RNA", at positions 29 to 507 of the family's 1533-position model. The record is from RNAcentral.
AGUGAACGCUGGCGGCAGGCCUAACACAUGCAAGUCGAGCGGCAGCGCGGGGGCAACCCUGGCGGCGAGCGGCGGACGGGUGAGGAAUUCGUCGGAAUCUGCCUUUUUGUGGGGGAUAACGUAGGGAAACUUACGCUAAUACCGCAUACGUCCUACGGGAGAAAGUGGGGGACCGCAAGGCCUCACGCAGAAAGAUGAGCCGACGACCGAUUAGCUAGUUGGUGGGGUAAGGCCCACCAAGGCGACGAUCGGUAGCUGGUCUGAGAGGAUGAUCAGCCACACUGGGACUGAGACACGGCCCAGACUCCUACGGGAGGCAGCAGUGGGGAAUAUUGGACAAUGGGCGCAAGCCUGAUCCAGCCAUGCCGCGUGUGUGAAGAAGGCCUUCGGAUUGUAAAGCACUUUUGUCCGGAAAGAAAUCCCUGGAGCUAAUACCUUCGGGGGAUGACGGUACCGGAAGAAUAAGCACCGGCUAACUUCGUG